RNAcentral lists this long non-coding RNA (321 nucleotides) under Anolis carolinensis (green anole). Its description in RNAcentral is "lncRNA (ENSACAG00000033265.2)". The record is from RNAcentral. Lineage: Eukaryota; Metazoa; Chordata; Lepidosauria; Squamata; Anolidae.
AUACUAAAAAUCUGUAUUUAUCCUGCUCUUUUUCAGCAUUUUCACAAAAUUGCUGCUAAAAAAGUCCUUCCAGAUAGACAGAGAAAACAGGCACAUUUUUCUGGUAAAUCAUGGGAGCAGCUACCUUGUGCGAGUGCAGUGCUUUCAACAUCUUGGAGCUGUGAUUGAUAAGUUACAGGAGACUUUUGUCCCUAGUAAAAACUAUUCAGAACACCAUCAUACAGGUGCUUUGCUUGGCUACAACCCGUCCCGACUCCCAAUGAAUCUAGUUAUAUAAGGACCUCAGGACUGACCCAGCUGUUAAGUGUGUUGAAGUGGUGA